GGCUCUGCGUUCUGGAGUGGCACUGCUUGGGCUGGUGGCGGAUUGCACGCUGCUGGUGUUGAGGCUGAGGAGAGCGACGAGAGGGUUCCACGUUUCUCGUCAGGAUCCCCGCAAGCAUGAGUGCUGCCAGAGAGUCUCACCCACACGGGGUGAAGCGUUCAGCCUCCCCAGACGAUGAUCUGGGAUCUAGCAACUGGGAGGCAGCAGACUUGGGUAAUGAAGAGAGAAAACAAAAGUUCUUGAGACUUAUGGGUGCAGGAAAGAAAGAACAUACUGGUAGUCUUGUUAUAGGAGAUCACAAAUCAACAUCUCACUUCCGAGCAGGGGAAGAAGACAAGAAAAUAAAUGAAGAACUGGAGUCUCAAUAUCAGCAAAGUAUGGACAGUAAAUUAUUCAGGAAGAUAUCAGCGACAUUGUGGACUUGGCUUCAGUGAGGUAGAAGAUCAUGAUGGAGAAGGUGAUGUGGCUGGAGAUGAUGAUGACGACGAUGAUGAUUCACCUGAUCCUGAAAGUCCAGAUGACUCUGAAAGCGAUUCAGAGUCAGAGAAAUCUGAAUCUGAAUGAAUCUGCUGAAGGACUGAAUCUGCUGAAGCACUCCAAGCUGCUGAGCACCCUGAUGAAGUGGAGGAUCCCCAAAACAAAAAAGAUGCAAAAAGCAAUUAUAAAAUAAUGUUUGUUAAAUCCAGUAUUCAUAACUCCCAAACACUUAGUCUUUGUAUUAAAAGUAAGACUUAUUGUUAUAAUGCACAGUGGAGGCCUGCUUAUAGAGCACAGACCUUUGUAUUAUAAUUUUUAGAAGGCCCUUUUAAAUAAUUACAAAGAGUGUUUGCUUUCAAAUGCCAUGGGUUACACUUUUAUGGGCAUGACUAUAACCAUUUUUGUAAAGAGUAAGAGUUGUAUAAAAUAAGAAAUAAAUACAGUACUCAACUUCCUUUGAUAUUAUCA
RNA transcript from Sapajus apella (tufted capuchin), 945 nucleotides. It is a transcript of the gene named small acidic protein pseudogene, with no coding region annotated. Lineage: Eukaryota; Metazoa; Chordata; Mammalia; Primates; Cebidae. The record is from RefSeq and is a predicted model, not a curated record. The transcript has a single exon.